GGGAACCUCUAAGGAGACCAAGAGGACUGCAGCAAGGACAACAGCAUUUGGGGAGGUGCUACCCACACAGGUUUACUGCCACUGGAGGCCGAGAGGGCUGCCCACUCCGAGAACAACUCCCCACCCCCAAAGGCUGUUUCGGUUUAGCCCGGGAGAAGAUGCGAAGAAGGGCCUGGCAGCGCCCGCGAGCAGCGAGAGGAGGGCCCAAGGUGCGCCCGUCCCCCUUUCCUCCCCUCCGGCUGGAUAAAGUCCGGGCGGGUCCGGUGGUUUUCGUUGCUACGACCACCUCCAGCGGGAUUCAGAGGAGGCCGUCGAGGAGCGCGUGACGCACCUCCUUUCCCCCUCCCUCCGCUCUCUUCUCCCGGAGAACAAAAGAAGAAUUCUUUGCACAGGCUCUAAAACAAAUCAUCUGGUUGGGAAGCCUCUGUUGCUCUAGGAAGGGGGGAGGCGAGCCGCAGCGACCCCCGGAGGAGAAUUUCCCCGCUGCCCGGGUUCGCUUAUACAGCAUUUCAUUAAUUUCUGGGCCAGUCUUACUAAUAGGACAGGGGUCUCCAACCUUGGUCCCUUUAAGACUUGUGGACUUCAGUUCCCAGAGGCUGUAUUGUGACUUCACAUAACAUCUAGAGUUGCCCAGCAUUCAGAGAUUUGCAUGAUUGUACAUGUCAUAACCGGGUGCAUAGCUGCUUCAUAGAACCUCUGAUUGUGGAACGGAGCUCAGAAGGAAAACUCUGCAGUAACACAGAGAAUUUUAUGCCAAUCUGGGGAGAUCUACGAACUACAUGUUAAACAACACCAGCUAUAUGUAGAAGUUAUAAGUUAGUGGACCAGAGGAAUGCUGUCGAUAUAAUUUACUUGGACUUCAGUAAAGCAUUUGAUAAAGUAGACCAUAACCUACGACAAGAUAAAGUAGAAAAAUGUGGGUUAGACAGCACCACCACCAGAUGGAUUCGUAACUGGCUGACCAACCGCACUCAGUGUCUAGUCUUCAAUGGAAUUACAUCCACAUGGAGGGAAGUAUGCAGUGGAGUAGCUCUGUUUUAGGCCCAGUACUCUUCAACAUCUUCAUCAAUGACUUGGACGAGGGGAUAGAUGGGGAACUCAUCAAAUUUGCAGAUGACACCAAGCUGGCAGGAAUAGCCAACACUCCAGAAGAUAGGCUCAAGAUACAGAAAGAUCUUGACAGACUUGAACAUUGGGCACUAUCUAACAAAAUGAAAUUCAACAGUGAAAAAAAUUCAACAGGAUAUCUAGGUUGGUGUUAGGGAAUUCUUCCUUAAUAUAAUGAGAAGUCAUUUUUUGCCUGUCCAGCAACGGAAAACAUCACAAGGAUCAGACACCAAAACUAUCUCAAGCCCACUUGAGAACCAAUGACCCAUAUGAACUAAAGCAAUUGGAAAACCAAUUUCAAUUUCUCAGAAUGGAUUUGGAAUUCCAGAAGGGGAAAAAUAUUUUAAAGUGGAAGUGGAGAGAGAGGAGAAGAGAAUUGGAGUAUGAGGAAUAAUUUCAAAGUUUGGAACUGGACAGAAUGAUGGAAUGAUCAGUUAGGAACUGAGAGGUAAACAGAGGAACAUCAAUCCAACAUUUCCCACUGCUCCUAAGGAAAACUGGCAAGUUCCCAAGGUGAAAUUAGUUACUGUAAGUGGACCUUACUACUGUGAACCUUACCAGAAUUUGAGGGUGAAGUUUUAUCCAUGAGAAAGAGGGAUAUCCCUUAUGUAACUACUGUAUGUGGGUAGCAUAUCUUUUCCUUGGUACAUUUUGGAGGGGGUGUGAGGGCCAGUGGAAUAUAUUUUCCAUUUUAUAUCAGCUAUAUUUUCAGAGUGUUUAGUUUUCUCCUCUUGAGAAUGUAGAAGAUAUAGUGGCUGUUCCAUCACAACAGUGGUGGCAUGUCUCCACCACCGCCCCUCCUUUCCAGAGUUACUGAAGGAUGAGAUUGCAUGUAAUAGUUUUAUGGAUGUGGAAGGAAAACACAAUGCCUAUCAAAACGGAGGAGAAGAGAGGAAGAGAGUUUUCCUCAAAUGUAUCUUCUGCUCUCAUGUCUCCCUGUUUUCAUCAACAAAGAAUUAACAGCUUUCCCCUUAGAAAGUUACGCAUGAUUCUACUUUCAUUUUUCUCUUUCAAGGUUCAGGACAGAAUGGAACUCUUCAGCCAUGAAGAGCAUUUGCUCAAAAAAAUUUCUAUCACUGCUAGUUAUUUCCUGUUUUGAUGGAAUGAAAAAAUACCCAAUUUUCCUUCUUUAUUUUUCCAAAGAGCCAAAUAACACUGGAAAAGAAUAUCUCCCACCUGCUCUCCUUUCCAUAUUAAUCCGAAUAUAACAAUCAUUUAUGUUAUUUGUGUGUGUGUGUGUGUGUUAAUUUCUGAUGUACAUCACAUGUUGUUCCUUUGGGAUCUUGGCAUAUUAAUCUUCUUGAUUUGCGGGGCAGGGGCAGAGUAUUUAACUUCCCUUUUUCUUGUCUGCAUCACUCUCCAGUCCUACUCCUUCUACCCCCAUUCUUCAUAUUUGUAUUCUGUAGAAGCAGCUGAAGAAAGGAAGCCUGCUGUACAAGAGUAAAAAUAGAUCCGGCAGUUACUCAGCUCCUGAGAACAUGAUGGUAUGACUCACGAGUCUACUUCUGACUCGUGAAAACAAGUUUCUAAUUACACGGACUCUUUAAUUAAAAAAGAAAGAAAAGAAAAGAAACCACAGAUUCUAACAUUUGGAAUUUUUCAGAACGUUUUAUCAAGGACUUAAUAAAGAGGAGUGCAUGAAUUCUGUUAAAUAAAUACAAAAGACUGAUUACCACUUAAAAACAAAACAAAACCUUGUUUUGGCAACUGUAGCCAGGACCAGCCUAUUCCUCUCUCCACUCCCACUCCCCAUUCUGUGUUCAUGCAAGGAACAGGUGAAACAUGCUAUGCAUUCGCACAGUCUUUUUUUGUUUUUGAACUGUAAAAGUUUAACAUUUUCCUCUCUCUUUUUUUGCCAAGAAUGGAAAAGGGAGGGGGCAUUCCUUUGGAAUGUGGCUUCUAUCUCCCAUGGUAGUUGAUUAUCCAUUCAGCAGAAGCAUGGAGGUGGGGGAAGCACCAGAUCUGUACUAUCCAAGAAGCGGGGGAAGAAGCAGCAGCAGCCACAAUCUGAAUCACAGAUGGAAAAUAAAUAACAAAACUGAGGAGCAGAAAAGGGGGGAAAUGAUUUCCUCUAAGUUACGGGGAAGCUUUUCAAACAGGUAAGAGAUGAAAGGCAAUCCACCCGUGGGCUAUGCAACCAGUGAUCCAUGAAUCACGGUUUCUAAUUCUAUCCCAGACAGAAAAGGAGGAUCAGGCAAGCAGUGAUGGAGAAUGGUGAUAUACUGUAAUGAGGGAUCAGUGGUGGAGAAUGAAAACUACCGCUUGGAGAGAAAUUCUUUCAGACUUGGAUGGAGUCCUGGAGGAGAUUUGAUGCACCUGGAGGAUGCCCUUUGAGCUCCAGUAAACAGACUGUUGCCCUCCCUAGAUAAGAUCCAAGUCAAUUAGGUGUCUGCUGAUUUGAGAUUCUCUCAAAUCCAGAUUGAAUUUGUGGACAGUGACUGAACCUUUGUUCCAAGGUAAUUUAGAAAGAAGGGAGUUCAUGUGAUGCAUGUUUUCCUAGGAGGUAAACAAUAAAUGUUGCUUCACCUUCCAGACCCUUAACUGUAAAAGACAUGCAAAGGGUGCCACAUUCACAGAGCUGCAAAUCCAAGCCUUGUUUUUAUUUAAAGAUAUGAAUUAUUCUGCAAAUAUUCUGCAAAGAAGAAAAUCUGCAAACUCAUUGCAUCUGCACACUGAACAGCCCAGUUGAAAGUGAAAUAAGUAAAACUAAAAUUUUCACCAUUUAUACUGAUUGCAGAAUUUGCAUUCUCCUUGUGUGUCUACAGAACAGGAGCCACUUUUCUCUGCCUCCUUUUCCAUGUUGUUUGUUGCUUGUCAAUCAAAUGUUUCAUGUAAAGGCCACAUUCACUUGUUCAGCAGCCAGAACAAAAACGAAACGCAGCUAGUAAGAUGCAUUUGAAUUAAUUAUUCUUGAGUUAUAUUUCCCUGCCUUUUGCAAGAUGCUGGGUUCCCCCUACUAAAAUCCAUACUAAGAAGCCUUUGUUUUUAAAAUUACAAACAAUAAAUGAGUAGCUCAGUGGUGGGUUUCAAAUUUUUUUACUACUGGUUCUGUGGGUGUGGCUUGGUGGGCAUGGCAUGGCUUGGUGGGUGUGGCAGGGGAAGGAUACUGUAAAAUAUGCAUUCCCACCCCACUCCAGGGGAAGGUUACUGUAAAAUCUCCAUUCCCUCCCCACUCCAGGGGAAGGAUACUGCAAAAUCCCCAUUUCCUCCCGAUCAGCUGGGAGUUGGGAGGCAGAGAAUAGGUGGGGGUUGGGCCAGUCCGAAUUUUUACUACUGGUUCUCCGAACUACUCAAAAUUUCUACUACCGGUUCUCUAGAACUGGUCAGAAUCUGCUGAAACCCACCUCUGGAGUAGCUGUUAAGAUUCUGGAGGAAAAUUAUAUAUACAUUUUAAUCAGCUCCUUUGAGUCAAUUUCCCUUCCCAUCAUUCAUUAGCAGGCUGGGUGCCAAAAUGACCCUCUAAUGCCUUAUCUACCAGUGGAAUAACUUAUUUAUGUCCUGGAACACCUGGCAUUUAUUUAUGGUAUGAUGAGCGCUUAAAUCUAUUACCACAAAAAGUUCCAACAUAAUAUAUCAACUUUCUGAAUUCACCUCUUUAUAUUUAUUUACUUAUUUGAUUGGAUGAUUGAUUGAUUGAUUUCUGCACUAGCUGACUCCAAAUUGACUUGGCCAGUUCACACUAUAAAAAAACACACCCACACCCAUAUUAGUUACCUGAAGGUACAGAAAAAUGCAACAAAAUAAGAUGGAAAUUUAGACAACCAACUCAAAAUACAGUAAAUGCCAAAGCUUCCAUCCACUACUACCUCAAUGGCUGGGAGAACAGCCAAGACUUUCCAGAACACCAUCAGAGUGGGAGUCAUCAAGAUCUCGGGGCGGGGGGGGGGCAUUGUCCUUCCAGAGAGCAAAUUAAAUUAAAUUGAAUUUGGAGGUAGAAUGUGUAGUAGACUACCACUGCUAUAAUUGAAUGGUGUCACCUUCUCCUUGUGCUGAUCUUCCAGCCUCUCUUAUAUUAUGAAUAUAUGCGUCAUACCAGACUGCAUUAAUGCUACACUAUGCAUGAUAAUACUAACUUUUCUCCCACUGGCAAACAAACUUGACAAUUUUCUCUGUAGCUUCUGUAGCACAAAUAGCUAAAUUGGUUUUUUUUAAAUCAACAAUCGGUAUCAAUAUCUUGAAUGAGUAUUGUCUUGUGGCUAAAGACCCACAAAAUACAACUGAGCAAGAUGGGAGGUAUCAAUAAAGGAGAAUGUUCAUAGCUCAGGAUUGAAAUGAGAGGCCCCUUGGUGCUCUCUGGGCUUGCUUGUUUUCUUGUAGAUGUUUCAUUAUCCUAACAGCACUGAUAAUGUUACCUAGUUAGGAUAAUGAAACAUCUGCAAGAAAAUAAGCAAGUUCAGAGAGCACCAAGGACCCCUCAAUGGGAGGUAUAUAAAACAUCAGGUGUAUCAAUUAAUCUAUUAUUGAAACCCUGUUCUAGAUUCUUGUGGAAGUACCCACCCACUCCCCAGAAAAACAAACUUAAAACAAAAUUUUGUAUUGCCCCACAACCUGUAUCAAGAUCACUUGGCGGCCGUCUCCAGGAGAGCCUUUUACCAGGUUCGCCUGGUUUGCCAGUUGCGUCCCUUUCUGGACCGGGAUGCCUUAUGCACGGUCACCCAUGCUCUCAUCACUUCUCGUCUGGAUUAUUGCAAUGCUCUCUACAUGGGGCUACCCCUGAAGUGCACUCGGAGGCUCCAGUUAGUCCAGAAUGCAGCUGCGCGGGUGAUCGAGGGAGCUGCACGCUGCUCCCGGGUAACACCGCUCCUGCGCAGUCUGCACUGGCUACCUGUGGUCUUUCGGGUGCGCUUCAAGGUUCUGGUUACCACCUUCAAAGCGCUCCAUGGCUUAGGGCCCGGGUACUUACGGGACCGCCUGCUGUUACCUUUUGCCUCCCAUCGACCCGUACGCUCCCACAGAGAGGGUCUUCUCAGGGUGCCGUCCGCCAAGCAAUGCCGGCUGGCGGCCCCCAGGGGAAGGGCCUUCUCUGUUGGAGCACCUACCCUCUGGAACGAACUUCCCCCCGGUUUGCGCCAAAUAUCUGACCUUCGGACCUUUCGCCGGGAAUUAAAAACUUACUUAUUCAUCCAAGCGGGACUGGCCUGAUUUUUAAAUUUAAAUUUUAAAUUUUAAAUUUUUGUAAUUUUAUAUGGGUUAUUUUAGGUUGGGUCAAUUGAUGGUUUUAAUUCGGCCAUUAUUGAAUAUGUUUUUUAAAUUGUUAUUUUAACUUUGUAUAUUUUAUUGUUUUUAUCUUUGGCUGUACACCGCCCUGAGUCCUUCGGGAGAAGGGCGGUAUAAAAAUUUAAAUAAAUAAAUAAAUAAUCAUGUUUUUCAGUCAGAAUGAAGGCACAUUUGAUCUCAAGUGAUCCCUUUUAAGUGCAGUAGCUCCAUGUGAAAGCUGACUCAUGAUCAUGUUAUGACAAUGGCAAUGUUAUACUGAAAUCCAGGACUGGUAAAGUUUAUGGCUUUCUCAAUUUGCUGAUGAUUUUGUUCUUUCUUAAACUUGGCCAGGCAUUUGACCAGAUCCACACCUUUGCCAGGCCUUGCUGUUCCACUUACAUCUGUUCAUUGCAUCUUCCCUGUCUUCUCUGGGUAUGCAAGUAGAACAAGGAACUGAAAUAGCAUCUUCCAUUCACCUGGCCUUCUCCCCAGAGAGACAGACUCUGAGUCACAGAUGUGCUAUUUUUCUCAGCUGGGGACCACACUUGACAUUGAGUGCCAUGGUGGGCAAUGUGCUAAACAAAGUAGAUGGGGCCAGGAAAACACUGUGGGCGAGGUAAGACCAACAAUUAAAUUUAACAUUUAAUUUACAAUUCAGGAAAAAAUAAAGCUGAGAUGAUUAGUCCCAAUGCGUUCCACAAUUUUCUACUUUCUACUUCUUUUUUACUUCUGCCAUAUUAAAAACAUAUACUUUAUUUUUCAUCAGCUGAUGUCUCCAAGUCACAAUUGAAGGUCAGUUUAGACGCAAAGUAUUGGCUCCUGCCACAACUAUGGAAGGAGUCUGAAUAGGUCACUCUUAUCUCAAGAAAACAUAGUGGUAGCCAAACACAACAACUAAGUCAACUAAGUCCCUGUGCUUGUCACCUUCUCCAGCCUUCCUUACAAACAUACUUGUGCCCUUUCCCCCCUUUUGUUGCAUGGGCUUCAUCAUAACAAAUCCUUUGCCACACCACCUAGCUGGUGAGCAGUGCCAGUGAAACAAGUGAGAAAAAAGACUCCAAUACCCCCCUUGGAGUCUGGUACCUGCUCCUCAGUUAUCAUGAUUUAAAAAAAGCCUCUGAGCAAAAUUCCUCAGCCAACCCAAGAAUGCCAUUUGGAACAAGGGAGGAAAGGCUGGAGAAGAAAGUACUGCAAAUAAAUGAAAGUUUGCACUCUCAAAACAAACACAUGUCCUAUUCCUUUUCUAAAGGAAGAAUAUUUUCUGAUCUUCUUUUAGGAUUUAAUUGAAGCCUGAGAGGCUGCAGAUUCAUGGAGAUGUGACUCUAGAAUAAGAUAGGACAUUCAUAUUUGUACAUCUCUUGACCUCCUCAUUAGUGAAUUCGUUUAAAAACACGAUAUUGUUCAUAUUGUGCAGUGAAUAAAGUGAAAUUCACUUUAUUGCUGUAAAAUAUUUAUACAAUAAAUUUUGUAUUAUCAAAUUGAAUCAAAAUCAUGGGAAAAAUACAUACUAAUUCUACUGCAUGGUAUUAAACAAUGUAAUAGGCCAGAUUAACUUCCUGAAGUAGGUUUACAUAGUGUUAUAGUUCCAAAUUGGCUGUUGUUGUUGUUCUUCUACUAUUACUAUUACUACUUCUUCUUCUUCUUCUUCUUCUUCUUCUUCUUCUUCUUCUUCUUCUUCUUCUUCUUCUUCUUCUUCUUCUUCUUCUUCUUCUUCUUCUUCUUCUUCCGCCUCCUCCUCCGCCUCCUCCUCCGCCUCCUCCUCUUCCGCUUUCACUUCCACUUCCACCAUUUUACCAUCUAUUAGAAUUCACAGGAGAUAAUUCACAUUUUUUUGUUACUUCAGAGACUGUCCUGCAUAGCUGCUGUUCAGAUUGAGUUUCAUUGCCACAUAACAUGAACCAUAGUGUUCUGUUCAAUAAAGUCUGUUCAACCAAUAUCCAUGCCCUGGGCAUUUCAUGAGAAAGCAAUCUACAUGCAGAAGAUAAUGAAUGGCUAUUAGACUUCUUGAAUUUCAUUACUUAGGAACUAGAUAGUCUACAGUGGUAGGAUGACAAUAGCAAAAAUAGCUUGAGCUCUCCUAGGCCUGUGCAACCUUCUUGCAGUCCCUCCCAGAUAAAAAAAGGGAAGAGGAAACUAUGCAUCCCCUUGGGGGCAGUGUGUGUACAGUAUGUGGGUGAGGGCAAUAAAGUCCAGCCAUUCCCUUGUCUUUGUUAAUAUGCAAUAGGGAUCACAUUAUUACAUGUAAAAGGCAUUCUCUGCAUUCCAGGGCUUGCAGCUCAUAGUUAAGCUUUAUGGUUCAUUGGUAUGCUGCAUGGUGGUCAAUCUGUUUCUGAAGAAACAUUUCCAUCCUAGGAGGAGAAACCUCUCUGCCUGCAAGAAGAACCUUUAAGACUAAGACUGCUUCUAGCCUGCUGCCAUUAACCAAGCACCAAACAACUCUCAUUUCUUAGUGUUACUUUUCUGCUUCAAUAAUGUCAGUGCAAUGUUAUCUUAUUCUCACACGUUUGUACACCUCUGCACAUCCGUUUGAUACUACUUUUCUCAAGUUGGAGAAGCAACACCUACUAUAUUUCUGUUCAAUAUACAGAGGAGUAUGUCAGGAAACGAGGAAGGGUUGAGGGUAAUCUCAUGUAAAUGUUUCCUUUUAAUUUCCAAGUCGCCCCCCCUCCGCCUACCUGUUAGUCCUCUUCCCCUAGCCAUUUCCAAAAAAUAAAAUCCAUAAUAAAAGGCAGAAAAUGUGUUUUUUACUCCUCUGUUCUACCUAAAAUAUGGUAAUUAAAUUUCAACCACAGAUUAUUGUUGAAAGCAGCCAAAACACAUAAUCAGUUUUGAGGGAUAAAAUAUAAAAUUUUGUAGGUUGAAGAAAAGUUGUUAGGUUUCUAACUCCUAACCAAUGUAAAAAUGUUAAAUUAAUUCAUUAAAUAUGCAUAUAUUUGCAUGUAGCUAAAACUAAAAAUAUUUGUUUAAAAAUAAGGAAAAAACCUUAGAAGAAGCAUAUACUUCCCAUUAGAAGGAUGGAAUGCCUCUUCUAAAAGGAUAGCUACCGUAACAUACAAGAAUAUUGUAUUAUACAUACAAUAACAUACAUACAAGAAUAUUAAUACAUAUAAUAAUAUAAUAAUUAUUAUAUUAUAAUAAUAAUAUAAUAAUUAAGAAUUAUUAAGAAUACAAGAAUAAGUAACAUACAAGAAUAUUGUAUGGUCAAAAUUGGCAAUGCUAUAUCAAAUCCUGUUCCUGUCAAAAGUGGCAUUCCCCAAGGCAGCGUUCUUGGACCAACGCUCUUCAUAUUAUACAUCAACGAUCUCUGCGACCAUAUCACAAGUAAUUGUGUUCUCUUUGCUGACGAUGUCAAACUAUUUAACACCAUCAACAACACAACUACCCUUCAAAAAGACCUUGACUUUGUAUCCGAAUGGUCUAAAACUUGGCAACUCCAAAUCUCAACCAGCAAAUGCUCAGUCUUACAUAUUGGAAAAAAGAACCAAAAGACUAAGUACAAGCUUGAUGGACAGUACCUUACAGAUGAUCCCUACCCUGUUAAAGACCUUGGAGUUUUAAUAUCAAAUGAUCUAAGUGCCAAAGCCCACUGCAACUACAUCACAAAAAAGGCUCUAAAAGUUGUAAACCUAAUCUUACGUAGCUGCUUUUCCAAAAACACUACAUUACUAACCAGAGCAUAUAAAACAUUUGCUAGACCAAUUCUUGAAUACAGCUCGACUGUUUGAAACCCAUACCACAUUUCUGAUAUCAACACAAUUGAACGUGUCCAAAAAUAUUUACAAGAAGAAUUCUCCACUCCUCCGAAUACAACAAAAUACCUUAUGCCACCAGACUUGAAAUCCUGGGUUUAGAAAAUUUAGAACUCCGCCGCCUUCGACAGGAUCUGUGUUUAACUCAUAGAAUCAUCUACUGUAAUGUUCUUCCUGUUGAAAACUUCUUCAGCUUAAAUCACAACAAUACAGGAGCAAACAAUAGAUUUAAACUUAAUGUUAACUGCUUCAAUCUUGAUUGCAGAAAAUAUGACUUCUGUAACAGAGUUGUUAAUGCUUGGAACACAUUACCUGACUCUAUGGUCUCUUCUCAAAAUCCCAAAAUCUUUAACCAAAAACUAUCUACUAUUGACCUCACCCCAUUCCUAAGAGGUCUAUAAGGGGCGUGCAUAAGAGCACAAACGUGCCUACCGUUCCCUGUCCUAUUGUUCCUCUUCAUUAUAUCCAAUUAAUACAGUUAUUACAUACUUAUGCUCAUAUAUAUGCUUAUAUAUUAUAUAGUUAUUUCAUGUUAAUGCUUAUAGUGCUUAUAAUGUAAUGCUUACACUGUUAUGACAAAAAUUAUAUAUAUAUAUAUUUUUCCAGACUUUAGGGUUAAUUUAAGAAGGCAGCUCCAAAAUUUUCACAAAAAUAUACUGUCUUGCCAUUUUGAGGAAGUUCUUAGCAAAGUGAGAAAUUCUGCUUUCACUGAAAUUUCAGCUUUUGCUUAUCCCACUACUGCUCGAUGGUUUUGCCCUUUGUUUACAUAGUUAAUUUCCAUUGUACCCACCUUAAUUGAGUGUUUUUACAUUUUUAAAAUAGUUUUGCCACUUUGACAGUGUUAAAAAAUGUAGGCUUAUUUAUUUUAUUAAAUAAAUAGAUGUACUAUAGAAGUGUUGCUUUGUUCACUUUGUAAUAAAACCUUCAGUCAAGAUUAUAUGAUACAAGCAACCAGUAUCAGUGCUAAUUCAAUGCCUGAGAAUACAUUUCAACCUUCAGUUUUCUCUUAUUUGGUUCAAACCCACU
Molecule: long non-coding RNA, 11078 nt
Organism: Ahaetulla prasina
Lineage: Eukaryota; Metazoa; Chordata; Lepidosauria; Squamata; Colubridae
Exons: 7
Source: RefSeq, a predicted model, not a curated record